AUCGCGUUCCCUGCCCGCCGAGGUCCCAUCGCUUCCCUGCUGGGAAGACAAAUGAGGCGCUUUAGCCGUCUCCACGGCCAGCCCCUCCCUCAUAACCCGAGAUUCUUUGUGGGCUCUUAGUCCAUAGCUGCCUUUGAGGUGGUGUAGACCUUGCUAACCAGGACGGCCCAGUAGGCAGAGCUCAUUUUUAUUCCUGUCUGCAAUCGUGCAAAAACGCCUCUUAUGGAAAAGCCAGAGCGCCAGGAGUCAGCAAAACACACUAAAGAUUGGGCAGUCACUGGGGAGAACGUGAGUAAAAGCACAGGAACAGCAAAGCGUUCAGGAACGUUCGAGGCUGACGCAACCGGCGCAGGAAGGUGACUCAGCCCGCCUGCACCCAGGUGAAAUAUACAGCCUUGUUGCUCACACAAAGCCUGUUUGGUGGUUUCUUCACACGGAUGCAUGUGACAUUUGGUGCUGAAGACCCAGGACAGGAGGACUCCUUUGGGAGACCAGUGCCCUGUUGUCGCCCUCACUCCGUGAGGAGAUCCACCUAUGAUCUCAGGUCCUCAGACCAACCAGCCCAAGGAACAUCUUGCCAAUUUCAAAUCGGAUAGGAGUGUCAGGCCUCUGAGUCCAAGCUAAGCCAUCAAAUCCCCUGUGACCUGCACGUGUACAUCCAGAUGACCUGAAGCAACUGAAGAUCCACAAAAGAAGUGAAAGUAGCCUUAACUGAUGACAUUCCACCAUUGUGAUUUGUUCCUGCCCCACGCUAACUGAUACCAUAUAUUCUUCCCCCGCCCUUGAGAAUGUACUUUGUACACCUAUCCCAAACCUAUAAGAACUAAUGAUAAUCCUACCACCCUUUGCUGACUCUCUUUUUGGACUCAGCCCGCCUGCACCCAGGUGAAAUAAACAGCCCUGUUG
This 906-nucleotide long non-coding RNA is filed under the name Homo sapiens (human). RNAcentral describes it as "long non-coding RNA NONHSAT155960.1". Lineage: Eukaryota; Metazoa; Chordata; Mammalia; Primates; Hominidae. The record is from RNAcentral.